Molecule: ribosomal RNA, 253 nt
Filed under: uncultured prokaryote
Description: partial 16S ribosomal RNA
Rfam family: Bacterial small subunit ribosomal RNA
Source: RNAcentral
ACGGGGGGAGCAAGCGUUGUUCGGAUUUACUGGGCGUAAAGCGUGCGUAGGUGGUUUGUUAAGUCUGAUGUGAAAGCCCUGGGCUCAACCUGGGAAUGGCAUAGGAUACUGGCGAGCUAGAGUGCGGUAGAGGGUAGUGGAAUUCCCGGUGUAGCAGUGAAAUGCGUAGAGAUCGGGAGGAACAUCUGUGGCGAAGGCGACUACCUGGACCAGCACUGACACUGAGGCACGAAAGCGUGGGGAGCAAACAGGA